GGUCUGCCUCUAUGGCUGAAUUUAGAUCAUUAAGUGCCUCACUGUAUUUCUUAACUUUUACAUUUUGUGUUACUCUCUCAAACAAUGCAGCAGCAUCACCAGGUUUGGUGUCUACACAUCAUGAGUAGCAAAAGUAUCAGGAGAACAGUAAGUGCCAGUUCAAUUACAAGACAAAAAAACACUAUCCUAACUAGAUAGAUAGAGAAUAAUAUUCAUCAGUUCUCCUGAUAUAGUUCUCACUCACUACUGCAGGACCUAAGAUUGGCACAGUUGACCCUUCUGUCUAACUUUUUAUUACUCCCUCCAUUUCAAUUUGUUUGCCUUACUUUCCCUUUUACUCCAUCUAAACGAGAAUGUUUUUUUUCUUUUUUGGCAACUCUUCAGUUCUAACAUUCCACAU
RNAcentral lists this long non-coding RNA (400 nucleotides) under Solanum tuberosum (potato). RNAcentral describes it as "long non-coding RNA (STUB_LNC008745)". Lineage: Eukaryota; Viridiplantae; Streptophyta; Magnoliopsida; Solanales; Solanaceae. The record is from RNAcentral.